This 28-nucleotide non-coding RNA is filed under the name Mus musculus (house mouse). Lineage: Eukaryota; Metazoa; Chordata; Mammalia; Rodentia; Muridae. The record is from RNAcentral.
UGUGACUAACCUACUGAAGUUAUAUGUG